Salmo salar (Atlantic salmon) is the source of this 58-nucleotide non-coding RNA. NCBI's taxonomy places the organism in Eukaryota, Metazoa, Chordata, Actinopteri, Salmoniformes, Salmonidae. The record is from Rfam.
UGGCUCAGUUGGUAGAGCAUGGUGUUUGCAAUGCCAGCGUUGUGGGUUCAAUUCCCAC